RNAcentral lists this ribosomal RNA (433 nucleotides) under uncultured bacterium. RNAcentral describes it as "partial 16S ribosomal RNA". It matches the Rfam family "Bacterial small subunit ribosomal RNA", at positions 29 to 507 of the family's 1533-position model. The record is from RNAcentral.
AACGAACGCUGGCGGCAUGCCUAACACAUGCCAGUCGAACGAGACCUUCGGGUCUAGUGGCGCACGGGUGCGUAACGCGUGGGAACCUGCCCUUAGAUUCGGAAUAACGCCCCGAAAGGGGUGCUAAUACCGGAUAAUGUCUUCGGACCAAUGAUUUAUCGCCUUUGGAUGUGCCCGCGUUUGAUUAGCUAGUUGGUAGGGUAAAAGCCUACCAAGGCGACGAUCCAUAGCUGGUCUGAGAGGAUGAUCCGCCACACUGGGACUGAGACACGGCCCAGACUCCCACGGGAGGCAGCAGUGGGGAAUAUUGGACAACGGGCGAAAGCCUGAUCCAGCAAUGCCGCGUGAGUGAUGAAGGCCUUAGGGUUGUAAAGCUCUUUUACCCGGGAUGAUAAUGACAGUACCGGGAGAAUAAGCUCCGGCUAACUCCGUG